CGCCUGGCCUUGGUGGCCCCGGGACCAUCACGGCCAUGUCGGAGGCUAACCCAGAAAGCCCUGGUUGGCUUAAACGCGUGGCUGACGCAUCCUGGCAGACUGGAGAUCAAGCCCACGCUGUGGGAGCCACCAAAGGAGUCUAAUGAGAGUGAUAGUCCAAAGUGGCUGCUUACGGGAGGGUUUGAGGGUGGCCUAGAGUUUCCCGAGUUAAGGUGCCGCAGGACGUUUGAGCCACUCGGGUAGAGUGUCCCGCCAGUCUCUGUACAGCUCGGCCCAGGGUGUGUUUACGCACUAAGAGGGCUCGGGUGCCACCAAGUGGCCAUCCUGGGGACAUCACUGCCCGUCCCCAUGGAGCCACCAGUAUCUUUUCCUUCUGUGGGAGCAAGUCUCUGCAUUUGAGUUCAAUCUUCCCGAUUUCGAAGUGAGGAAACCCACGAGAUGUCUCGCUUAGCAGUGAGCUGACACUUUCCCCUUGGGUUUGAAACUACUCAUUCUGUGCGCGCCUCAGCUCCAGUCCUGCCGAUGCUUCUGGUAAGUCACUGAUUUCCUUCUUGCGUUAGGGUAACAGAGAGGGCGAGGCAUCCCUCUGCGGUGACACCAGAUCGUGAAACCCUGGAGGCCGAUCCGUCAUCAGUGUGGCUGGUGACUCCACCCGUGAGGUCCCGGAGCCACAUGCCCCCUGAGGCCCCGGAAGACACAGCCCUGAGCUGCUCCUGAGCUUGGCGCUUAAGGCGGGGAACAGACUUCAACUUUUUAAAAGAUAGGGACGGGCCACGGAAAGGACCACAACAGGGCUGUCUAUGGGAGUGUGGGUCGUGGGGACUGGUGUUCUGUGAUGUGGAAAACCUUAAAUUUCCUCACUGCGUCCAGCCCCUGGACAAGUCCCUGGGACAGGCAGAGUCACCGCCCUCUGGGAGCCCAGCUGCCUCGAUGAUGACACUUCGCUAAGGGCAAAAGGCGACCUUAGCUUGACCUCAUCCCGACCUCCGGGAUCCUAGCUUCCUGCGCUCUGAUGAGUAAGAGAGUUGGGAGCAGGUGUCCUUGCCACGUUCCUGAGUAUUCACCAUCCAUUCAUCAUUGAUGAGAGUCUUCAUCAUUGCCCGCUCUGUUAUAGGAGAAUCCAGCAAUUUCCCACCCAUCUGUGUCUACACCCUGGAACGACUGCGUGAUCCAGGAACCAUCUG
Molecule: long non-coding RNA, 1184 nt
Organism: Prionailurus viverrinus (fishing cat)
Lineage: Eukaryota; Metazoa; Chordata; Mammalia; Carnivora; Felidae
Exons: 3
Source: RefSeq, a predicted model, not a curated record